UGGGGAAUAUUGCACAAUGGGCGCAAGCCUGAUGCAGCCAUGCCGCGUGUGUGAAGAAGGCCCUCGGGUUGUAAAGCACUUUCAGCGAGGAGGAAGGUGGUGAGCUUAAUACGCUCAUCAAUUGACGCUACUCGCAGAAGAAGCACCGGCUAACUCCGUGCCAGCAGCCGCGGUAAUACGGAGGGUGCAAGCGUUAAUCGGAAUUACUGGGCGUAAAGCGCACGCAGGCGGUUUGUUAAGUCAGAUGUGAAAAUCCCCGGGCUCAACCUGGGAACUGCAUUUGAAACUGGCAAGCUAGAGUCUCGUAGAGGGGGGUAGAAUUUCCAGGUGUAGCGGUGAAAUGCGUAGAGAUCUGGAGGAAUACCGGUGGCGAAGGCGGCCCCCUGGACGAAGACUGACGCUCAGGUGCGAAAGCGUGGGGCAGCAAACAGGAUUAGAUACCCUGGUAGUCCACGCUGUAAACGAUGUCGAUUUGGAGGUUGUGCCCUUGAGGCGUGGCUUCCGGAGCUAACGCGUUAAAUCGACCGCCUGGGGAGUACGGCCGCAAGGUUAAAACUCAAAUGAAUUGACGGGUCUAGCUG
This 581-nucleotide ribosomal RNA is filed under the name uncultured bacterium. Its description in RNAcentral is "partial 16S ribosomal RNA". It matches the Rfam family "Bacterial small subunit ribosomal RNA", at positions 355 to 932 of the family's 1533-position model. The record is from RNAcentral.